Molecule: ribosomal RNA, 506 nt
Filed under: uncultured prasinophyte
Lineage: Eukaryota; Viridiplantae; Chlorophyta
Description: bacterial SSU rRNA
Rfam family: Bacterial small subunit ribosomal RNA
Source: RNAcentral
UAACACAUGCAAGUCGAACGGUAGUAUAUCUUCGGAUAUAUGAGAGUGGCGAACGGGUGAGUAACACGUAAGAAUCUACCUUUGGGACGGGGAUAACUUCUGGAAACGGAUGCUAAUACCCGAUACGCUGUGGAGUGAAAGAAUUUCGCCCAAGGAUGAUCUUGCGUCUGAUUAGCUAGUUGGUAGGGUAACGGCCUACCAAGGCAACGAUCAGUAGCUGGUCUGAGAGGAUGGACAGCCACAUUGGAACUGAGACACGGUCCAAACUCCUACGGGAGGCAGCAGUGGGGAAUUUUCCGCAAUGGACGAAAGUCUGACGGAGCGACGCUGCGUGAAGGAUGAAGGCCUGCGGGUUGUAAACUUCUUUUCUCGAAGAAGAAUCAAUGACGGUAUUCGAGGAAUAAGCAUCGGCUAACUCUGUGCCAGCAGCCGCGGUAAGACAGAGGAUGCAAGUGUUAUUCGGAUUGAUUGGGCGUAAAGCAUUUGUAGGCGGUUUGGAAAGUCUU